This 65-nucleotide transfer RNA is filed under the name bovine gut metagenome. It matches the Rfam family "tRNA", at positions 5 to 66 of the family's 71-position model. Rfam says of the family: Transfer RNA (tRNA) molecules are approximately 80 nucleotides in length. Their secondary structure includes four short double-helical elements and three loops (D, anti-codon, and T loops). The record is from RNAcentral.
CGGUAGCUCAGCUGGAUAGAGUGUUGGCCUCCGGAGCCAAAGGUCGUGGGUUCGAAUCCCGUCCG